This 88-nucleotide transfer RNA is filed under the name bacterium. Its description in RNAcentral is "tRNA-Ser". It matches the Rfam family "tRNA". From Rfam's summary of the family: Transfer RNA (tRNA) molecules are approximately 80 nucleotides in length. Their secondary structure includes four short double-helical elements and three loops (D, anti-codon, and T loops). The record is from RNAcentral.
GGAGAGAUGUCCGAGUGGUUUAAGGAGCGCGCUUGGAAGGCGCGUGUGCCCCAGAAGGGUACCGGGGGUUCGAAUCCCCCUCUCUCCG